UCAGGUACCAAGUUUCUCUUUUUUGCUGAUAGAAAAUUUGUUGGUUGUGUUUGAGAAGUUGGGUGGGAAUGUUUUGGUUAGAAGGACCAAUACACUACUAACAAAUCUGACAGUAAACUCCAUUAGUUGGCUGGACAUCAUGGUAAUUGAGAAGCAUCACCAAAAAGUGAUCUUCAACUUUUUCAUCUUUGUGAGCAAGUUGGGCAAGUGUUGUUUUUCUGACACCUUCCAUGCCUAAAGUUGCAACUACGCCCAUAUUGUUAUGGUUAGUACUUCUUUCUGAUAGUAACAUGUUCAUUAUUUUCUCUUUGUCAUCUUCCCUACCAACCAUAACAAAUUCAUUGAACAUAGGACUUGAAGGUGUUCUAUGAGAAACUCGGUCACUUUUAGCUUUGAAACUAAUGAUAUCUUUAUUUUCCACAAAAUGUUUCCGGUUUAAGCACAUUUUUUCGUUUGGAAAUUGAUCUUUGUAUAGUUAUUUGUAGGAGAAAAAAAGAAAUUCCAGACCUGUUUAGUUUUGCUUGCAGGUUGCGUGUUCUCCGUCUUGCAUCGAAGGGAAUCAUAGUUAAUUUGGUUGAGCAGAUCUUCAGCAUUGUAGACAGCAUCUUUCAAGCCAUCAAGCCACUCUUUGACAAAAGUAGUUGGAGAUUGUUGAUCUUAAAGAUAUUGUUGGUAAAGCUCCUUCGAGGAAGCCGAUGACAAUAGUGAAAGAAACUAAUGGGAAGUUGAAUGUCAAGAAAGAAAUGGUGACUCCUGUGAUUAGAGCUAAUUAGGUGAAAUAGGGCUUUCUAGGUAUUAAACUAUUUUUGGAAGAGCUCUCUCAUGUCGAGUCUGAAAGGGGUGCCUUAUUGAAAAGUACAUUUGUAGAAAUUGAUUGAUCGCUUUUACGAACAUCACACUCAGUGGAAGUAAUUGGUGUAUGCAAAUGCUGGUAUGAGCGAACCAUUUUUUGAAAUUGCAACAGGGUUUGGUGACUCUUUGAAGUUAUAUCUAUAUUGGUUAUUGAACAUUAGAGGAUAAUGUUUUUGUCAAUAUGAUACUGUUUAGCAAUUAUUGUAUUGCUAUUGAACUAAUAUGUUUUGUAUUGGUUCAGAGCUAGGAUUUGGGUUUGACACCAAUAAGGAUUCAUGCUCAGUUUAUUGAGAAGAUCUUGCUUGCGUCGGUGCUUUUAGCAUUUGGGAGGGUUGCGUGAUAUCCAAUUUGAUGUUCUUACUUCUGUUGGCAAUCUUGGAUGUGUUUUGUCUAUCUGUUUUGACAGCCUCUUUGGUUUGUAAUCAGAAAGAGUUUGUUCAGAUGUGGUGAGUCACAAUCCUUGUCUAUUGUUAUUGUAUAGCCUGGUUGAGUUCAUAUCUUUUUACGUGGCUCGAUUAAGCUGUGGCGGUCUUAUCACUCAAGAUCAGGUGUUCGACGAUUAUAUCAUGCCAGCAUUUGUAGGUUGUGAUAAUGAUUAUGCAUUUGUUGGUUGGAGUAGCUGCUGAUGUAAUUUAGAGCUUUAUUGUGGGAGGUGUACAGGUUUUCGACAGUCUUUUAGCACGGAUGCCCGAACAUGUCAUCAUGAGGUACAUACCCAACAAUUCUUCACCAGUAAAUUUCUUUGUAUUGCUUUGUAUUGCUGUUGGGAAGAGAAAACAAUGUAUGAUUACUUGCUUAACCCCAAGAAGGAAAUGAAAGCUCUGGAGAGAUUUGUUUCUUUUUCUUUUCCAGCUAGAAGAUUUUGUGAAUGCUAAUGUGAAUUUCAGUUAGAGAGCUUUCAAUGGAAAUUCAGUCUUUAAACUAUCAUUAGUUACAAAACUGGAGUAAGAAUGUCUACUGAGUCAGUUCCCAAACCUCUAUCUGUGCUUUGUCCUGAAUUCUGGUAGUACCUUCAAAAGGCUCCAAAUUUAUAUGUGCACAGUGUGGUGGAUGUGGCACAAUUCUUCAAGGUUAAAAAUCUCAUUAUUGUUUAUAUUCUUACUUUUAAACACAUUGUUGUCAAGUAACAGUUAGCUAUAGUGUAGUGGAAUUUUAAAAACCUGCCGUUGUUCCACUAUAUGCGGUUUGGUACAAACUGUUGUCGAAGAGUUGCUAUACCGGUAUAACGUUG
This is a long non-coding RNA of Vicia villosa (hairy vetch), 2083 nucleotides long. RefSeq lists it as uncharacterized. NCBI's taxonomy places the organism in Eukaryota, Viridiplantae, Streptophyta, Magnoliopsida, Fabales, Fabaceae. The transcript is spliced from 4 exons. The record is from RefSeq and is a predicted model, not a curated record.